UACUGUAAGAAUAAGCACCGGCUAAUUCCGUGCCAGCAGCCGCGGUAAUACGGAAGGUGCAAGCGUUAUCCGGUUUUAUUGGGUUUAAAGGGUGCGUAGGCGGCUUAUUAAGUCAGUUGUGAAAUCCUAGUGCUUAACGCUAGAACUGCAAUUGAUACUAUUAGGCUUGAGUUAAGAAUAGGUAAGUAGAAUUUAUGGUGUAGUAGUGAAAUGCUUAGAUAUCAUAAGGAAUACCAAUAGCGUAGGCAGCUUACUGGUCUUUAACUGACGCUGAGGCACGAAAGCGUGGGGAGCAAACAGGAUUAGAUACCCUGGUAGUCCACGCCGUAAACGAUGAUCACUCGGUAUACAUAAAUUUAUGUGUGUCUAAGCGAAAGCGUUAAGUGAUCCAC
This 392-nucleotide ribosomal RNA is filed under the name Candidatus Cardinium hertigii. RNAcentral describes it as "bacterial SSU rRNA". It matches the Rfam family "Bacterial small subunit ribosomal RNA", at positions 476 to 872 of the family's 1533-position model. Lineage: Bacteria; Pseudomonadati; Bacteroidota; Cytophagia; Cytophagales; Amoebophilaceae. The record is from RNAcentral. RNAcentral also lists the same sequence under 1 other name.